RNAcentral lists this microRNA (22 nucleotides) under Branchiostoma floridae (Florida lancelet). RNAcentral describes it as "Bfl-Mir-103-P8_5p* (star (passenger))". RNAcentral also lists the same sequence under 2 other names. The record is from RNAcentral. Lineage: Eukaryota; Metazoa; Chordata; Leptocardii; Amphioxiformes; Branchiostomatidae.
ACUGUUGCAUCUUGCUGCCUUU